AGGUGUGGUCAUACCAAAACAAUAUUAUCGGAUCCAAUCCGAACUCCAUAGUUAAGUGUACUUGGGUGAGAGUAGUACUAGGAUGGGUGACCUCCUAGGAAAUCCUCGGGUUGCACCUU
Ribosomal RNA from Lupinus angustifolius (narrow-leaved blue lupine), 119 nucleotides. Lineage: Eukaryota; Viridiplantae; Streptophyta; Magnoliopsida; Fabales; Fabaceae. The record is from Rfam.